UCAAGUCCUGAAGGUUCCUUUCCUCAGCCUCUUCCGGUCUGACUGAGGGAUCUCAAGUCCUCAUGGUCCCUUUCCUCAGCCUCUUCCGGUCUGACUGAGGGAUCUCAAAUCCUGAAGGUUCCUUUCCUCAGCCUCUUCCGCUCUCAAGUCCUGAAGGUCCCAUUCCUCAGCCUCCUCCACUCUGACUGAAGGAUCUCAAGUCUUGAAGGUCCCUUUCCUCAGCCUCUUCCGCUCUGACUGAGGGAUCUCAAGUCUUGAAGGUCCCUUUCCUCAGCCUCUUCCGCUCUUACUGAGGGACCUACUGUACCGAAAUAUGCCAAAACAACCGAGUGUAUCCCAGAGACUCGAGUGAAUAAACCCUGUCACGCGACUGAAGUCAGAACUGACUCAUCAACUCUGCUUCCUCAGAGCCUGGAGCAUAUCAGCAGGACCAGAGCGGGUCCCUUGUGCCAAGCAGUUUCAGGGCGCUGACAUCAUGUUAGCACCUCAGAGGGAAACACAGCAGUCGGACGCCGCGAGACUCACAACAACGUGUCAGCACUUGAGUCUGUCACAAGUCAGAGCGGCAAUGAGAGGAUGGAGAAGAUGGAGCGCGAGACAAGCGGCUCCUCAGUCACACCUGGAGGUUCCUCACCUCUUGCUUCCAUCCCUCCAUCAACAGACUUAUCAGGAAACUGUGGACUGAAGUUUCAACCACACGAGGGCGAGUCCGUUGCCACGGCGACAGAGCGACUGACAGGAGAAGAAGUUUACGUCGGCCGCAUGAUUCCAACAUUACUUCUCCAUCAAGAGGCAUCUGGGAGUCCAUCAGAGUAUUGACUUGUUCAUCGAUCCACAGUGUUGUGAGCUCAAGGUGAGGCCGAGACUCACGUCCAACACGAAGGACGAGGGAGACGCGCCAUUACGCUUUCAUGAUCUCGAAAUAAUCAUCUUCUCCGUUUAAUCCCAGGAGCUGGUGACUCAUGACUGAAAUUAAAAAUAGUAAAUUGUCCUUUCAAAGUAAAAGGUCAGCCAAAGAGGUCGACGUUUGCGUGCAUAUCGCUGAUCUAGGCAGAGUUUUGGGUUCCGCAGCUCCACCGUCUGAGCUCCAUCUGACUGAGGACACCCAGAUCAGGA
Molecule: long non-coding RNA, 1116 nt
Organism: Synchiropus splendidus (mandarinfish)
Lineage: Eukaryota; Metazoa; Chordata; Actinopteri; Syngnathiformes; Callionymidae
Exons: 3
Source: RefSeq, a predicted model, not a curated record